AGUGAACGCUGGCGGUAGGCCUAACACAUGCAAGUCGAACGGCAACACAGGAGAGCUUGCUCUCUGGGUGGCGAGUGGCGGACGGGUGAGGAAUACAUCGGAAUCUACUCUGUCGUGGGGGAUAACGUAGGGAAACUUACGCUAAUACCGCAUACGACCUACGGGUGAAAGCAGGGGACCUUCGGGCCUUGCGCGAUUGAAUGAGCCGAUGUCGGAUUAGCUAGUUGGCGGGGUAAAGGCCCACCAAGGCGACGAUCCGUAGCUGGUCUGAGAGGAUGAUCAGCCACACUGGAACUGAGACACGGUCCAGACUCCUACGGGAGGCAGCAGUGGGGAAUAUUGGACAAUGGGCGCAAGCCUGAUCCAGCCAUACCGCGUGGGUGAAGAAGGCCUUCGGGUUGUAAAGCCCUUUUGUUGGGAAAGAAAUCCAGCUGGCUAAUACCCGGUUGGGAUAACGGUACCCAAAGAAUAAGCACCGGCUAACUUCGUGCCAGCCGCCGCGGUAA
This 506-nucleotide ribosomal RNA is filed under the name uncultured bacterium. RNAcentral describes it as "partial 16S ribosomal RNA". It matches the Rfam family "Bacterial small subunit ribosomal RNA", at positions 29 to 523 of the family's 1533-position model. The record is from RNAcentral.